UCCCUGGUGGUCCAGUGGUUAAGACUCUGAACUUUGACUUCAGAGAGUGAGGGUUUGAUCCCUGGUCUGGGAG
Bos taurus (domestic cattle) is the source of this 73-nucleotide non-coding RNA. NCBI's taxonomy places the organism in Eukaryota, Metazoa, Chordata, Mammalia, Artiodactyla, Bovidae. The record is from Rfam.